UGAAUACGAGACGCUAAGGCGUCGAAGUAGUGUAUGUCAUACUUCCAAGAAAAGCUUGCACUGUCAUAAGUAAAAAAUGCCUGUACCAUAACCGACACAGGUGGGUAGGUAGAGUAUACUAAGGGGCGCGAGAUAACUCUCUCUAAGGAACUCGGCAAAAUAACUCCGUAACUUCGGGAGAAGGAGUACCUUAUUCUAUAAGGUUGCAAUAACAAGAUCCAAGCAACUGUUUAUCAAAAACACAGGUCUCCGCUAAGUCGUAAGACGAUGUAUGGGGGCUGACGCCUGCCCAGUGCCAGAAGGUUAAAGAAGUCGGUUAGCAUUAGCGAAGCUGGUAACUGAAGCCCUGGUGAACGGCGGCCGUAACGAUAACGGUCCUAAGGUAGCGAAAUUCCUUGUCGGGUAAGUUCCGACCCGCACGAAAGGCGUAAUGAUUUGGAUACUGUCUCGGAGAGGGGCUCGGUGAAAUAGACUUGUCUGUGAAGAUGCGGACUACCUGCACCAGGACAGAAAGACCCUAUGAAGCUUUACUGUAACUUGAAAUUGAAAUUGGACUUUAUUCGCGCAGUAUAGGUGGGAGGUGUUGAUUAUAAUCUUGCGGGAUUAUUGGAGCCAUCAGUGAGAUACCACUCUUGUAAUGUUAGAUUUCUAACUUUGAAUCAUUAUCUGGUCAAAGGACAGUUUCAGGCGGGCAGUUUGACUGGGGCGGUCGCCUCCCAAACGGUAACGGAGGCGUACAAAGGUUUCCUCUGAACGGGUAGAAAUCGUAUCUAGAGUGUAAAGGCAUAAGGAAGCUUGACUGUGAGACCUACAAGUCGAACAGGGACGAAAGUCGGUCUUAGUGAUCUGACGGUACUGAGUGGAAAGGCCGUCACUCAAUGGAUAAAAGUUACUCUAGGAUAACAGGCUGAUCUCCCCCAAGAGUUCACAUCGACGGGGAGGUUUGGCACCUCGAUGUCGGCUCAUCGCAUCCUGGGGCGGUAGUACGUCCCAAGGGUUGGGCUGUUCGCCCAUGAAAGCGGUACGCGAGCUGGGUUCAGAACGUCGUGAGACAGUUCGGUCCAUAUCCGGUGUAGGCGUUAGAAUAUUGAGAGGAGCCUUCUUUAGUACGAGAGGACCGAGAAGGACAUACCUCUGGUGUACCAGUUAUCGUGCCAACGGUAAACGCUGGGUAGCUAUGUAUGGAGUGGAUAACCGCUGAAAGCAUCUAAGUGGGAAGCCCACCUCAAGAUAAGUAUUCUC
This 1242-nucleotide ribosomal RNA is filed under the name metagenome. RNAcentral describes it as "bacterial LSU rRNA". It matches the Rfam family "Bacterial large subunit ribosomal RNA", at positions 1564 to 2815 of the family's 2925-position model. The record is from RNAcentral.